CCCUGAAUUGCUGAUGAUUCCAAAGAUGGGCUCAUCUCGAUGAGAGGAUGGAUUGGUCUUCAGCCUCCUUAACCUCUAAACGCCAGUGGGGAAAAACCAGAAAGUCAGUGUGUGCUACAGCCUCUCCCUGUGCCCCUGGGACUUCAGUCACCUUUGGCUAUAAGACCUUGGGCAAGUCACUUCAACCUUCUGAUCCUUAUUGUCAUCUGUAAAUGAAGAUCAGAAUAAUACAAUCCUGGAUUCAAGUGAUCCUCCUGCCAUGGCCUCCCAAGGUGCUGGCAUUACAGGCAUAAGCUACCGCACCCAGCCCCCAGGACAAUUCUUGAUGCCUGGAUUUGUGAUCCUGAGUGUGCACAUGCUGACUUACUGUCCUUAGGCCUCACUAUAUUGCCCAGGCUUGUCUUGAACUCCUGGCCUCUAAUAAUAAUAGUAGUCGUCAUAAUAAAUGUAAUUAUUAAUUAUUAUUAUUGUUAUUAUUAAAGCUCUCUAAAUGGCAUUUUACUCUGUGUAAACCAGGGAAGAGGUGAAGGAGAACCCAGUGCUCUAGCUGUGGCCCACUGCUGUGAUGUUGAUGAGCAGCCUCCUGGGCUCCUCUAGUGUCCUCCAAGUCCACAGUUCAAGCAGGUGAAAGUCUGUGGACUGCAGUUGCCAUGGUAAGAGCACUCUUUGUCCUCAGAGCUGGUGCAGGGGUGGCAGGGGUGGUCAUAUAAAUAAAUUAGGUGCCCAACCUCUCUCCCUGCCUUCUCUAUCACCUCACCUAUUUUUCAAGUUACUGAUUAAACCUUCUUGGACUUGAAUCCCUGGAGAUAAAGCCUCAGAUUUUAUGACUUACAUGUGAUUGCGUGCCGUGAAAUGUUAGGGUUUGUGCAGUGAAAACAGUUCGUGCAUUCAUUCCAUCUAGGGAAGUCCAGUUUCGUCCACACCUGGAGAUUUGAAAACAAAAGACUCAGCUGGGCGCAGUGGCUCACGCCUGUAAUCCCAGCACUUUGGGAGUCCAAGGCAGGCAGAUCACGAGGUCAGGAGUUCGAGACCAGCCUGACCAACAUGGU
RNAcentral lists this long non-coding RNA (1049 nucleotides) under Homo sapiens (human). RNAcentral describes it as "non-protein coding lnc-YWHAH-6:1". Lineage: Eukaryota; Metazoa; Chordata; Mammalia; Primates; Hominidae. The record is from RNAcentral.